UACGUAGGGUGCAAGCGUUGUCCGGAAUUAUUGGGCGUAAAGAGCUUGUAGGCGGUUUGUCGCGUCUGCUGUGAAAUUUCGGGGCUCAACCCCGAACUUGCAGUGGGUACGGGCAGACUAGAGUGUGGUAGGGGAGACUGGAAUUCCUGGUGUAGCGGUGAAAUGCGUAGAUAUCGGAAAGAACAUCAGUGGCGAAGGCGGCUUUCUGGACUCAUACUGACGCUGAGGCGCGAAAGCGUGGGGAGCAAACAGG
This 253-nucleotide ribosomal RNA is filed under the name uncultured bacterium. RNAcentral describes it as "partial 16S ribosomal RNA". It matches the Rfam family "Bacterial small subunit ribosomal RNA", at positions 524 to 776 of the family's 1533-position model. The record is from RNAcentral.